RNAcentral lists this ribosomal RNA (1174 nucleotides) under Margalefidinium fulvescens. RNAcentral describes it as "partial large subunit ribosomal RNA". It matches the Rfam family "Eukaryotic large subunit ribosomal RNA", at positions 23 to 1464 of the family's 3401-position model. The record is from RNAcentral. Lineage: Eukaryota; Dinophyceae; Gymnodiniales; Gymnodiniaceae.
ACCCGCUGAAUUUAAGCAUAUAAGUAAGCGGAGUGAUAAGAAACUAAAGAGGAUUCCGUGAGUAAUGGCGAAUGAACUCGGAGCAGCUCAAAGUGGAAAUCAAGGCCCGAGGCCUUGAAUUGUAAUUUGUAACUGCGUUGCCAACGCGGGCGCAAAUAUAAGUCGCUUGGAAGAGCGCACCACAGAGGGUGAGAGUCCCGUUUAUAAUUUGCAGCCUUGUGUGUACGGCACGCUGUGCAGAGUCACGUUCCUUGGGAAUGGAGCGCAAAGUGGGUGGUAAAUUUCAUCUCAAGCUAAAUAUGAAUUUGAGACCGAUAGCAAACAAGUACCAUGAGGGAAAGGUGAAAAGUACUUUGAAAAGAGAGUUAAAAGUGCCUGAAAUUGCUGGAAGGGAAGCGAAAGGAACCAGCCCGCAUGGUAAGAUUGUCGUGUGAGCUUCUAAAGCCGCACAAUGCAUCUGGCCAUGGCAAUCGUCGGUGGUUGUCAGCCGGGGAUACAAGCAGCUCUUCUUAGCUUCUUUCGAGAUUGCGGAAGCGUUGCUUAAACCCGCUUGGCGAUUAUUUCCCUAUCUGGAGUUGGUGUAAGUUUCGCGCUUGCAUUCAAACCGGAUGCUCGACGAUCAAAUGGUUCUUCUCGACCCGUCUUGAAACACGGACCAAGGAGUCUAGCAACUGUGCGAGUUCAUGGGAUAUAAACCUAUGUUCGUAACGAAAGUGACUGCUGAGAUAUUUCCACCAGCAACCGACCAAUCAAUUGAGUGCGGUUUGAGUGUAAGCAUAUUUGUUAGGACCCGAAAGAUGGUGAACUAUGCCUGUGAAGGGUGAAGCCAGGGGAAACUCUGGUGGAGGCUCGUAGCGAUACUGACGUGCAAAUCGUUCGUCAAACAUGGGUAUAGGGGCGAAAGACUAAUCGAACCAUCUAGUAGCUGGUUCCCUCCGAAGUUUCCCUCAGGAUAGCUGGAGCUGACCAGAUUUAUCCGCUAAGGAGUGUGUAACAACUCACCUGCCGAAUGGACUAGCCCCGAAAAUGGAUGGCGCUUAAGCGGGUGACCGAUACCCAACCAUUGUUGCAUUUGUGUUGCAUCAAUGAGUAGGAGGGCAUUGGGGUUUGUGAUGCAGCUUCUGGGGUGACCCUGGGUGAAACAACCUCUAGUGCAGAUCUUGGUGGUAGUAGC